This 831-nucleotide ribosomal RNA is filed under the name uncultured beta proteobacterium. Its description in RNAcentral is "bacterial SSU rRNA". It matches the Rfam family "Bacterial small subunit ribosomal RNA", at positions 74 to 902 of the family's 1533-position model. The record is from RNAcentral. Lineage: Bacteria; Pseudomonadati; Pseudomonadota; Betaproteobacteria.
GCGGGGCAACCCGCAAGUAGAGUGGCGAACGGGUGAGUAAUACAUCGGAACGUGUCCAGUAGCGGGGGAUAACCUCUCGAAAGAGAGGCUAAUACCGCAUACGACCUACGGGUGAAAGAGGGGGAUCGCAAGACCUCUCACUAUUGGAGCGGCCGAUGUCGGAUUAGCUAGUUGGCGGGGUAACGGCCCACCAAGGCUACGAUCCGUAGCUGGUCUGAGAGGACGGCCAGCCACACUGGAACUGAGACACGGUCCAGACUCCUACGGGAGGCAGCAGUGGGGAAUUUUGGACAAUGGGCGCAAGCCUGAUCCAGCCAUGCCGCGUGAGUGAAGAAGGCCUUCGGGUUGUAAAGCUCUUUCGGCGGGGACGAAAUGGUCCGUAUUAACACCACGGAUCUCUGACGGUACCCGUAGAAGAAGCACCGGCUAACUACGUGCCAGCAGCCGCGGUAAUACGUAGGGUGCAGGCGUUAAUCGGAAUUACUGGGCGUAAAGCGUGCGCAGGCGGUCUCUUAAGACAGGUGUGAAAUCCCCGGGCUUAACCUGGGAACUGCGCUUGUAACUGAGAGGCUUGAGUGUGCCAGAGGGGGGUGGAAUUCCACGUGUAGCAGUGAAAUGCGUAGAGAUGUGGAGGAACACCGAUGGCGAAGGCAGCCCCCUGGGGUAACACUGACGCUCAUGCACGAAAGCGUGGGGAGCAAACAGGAUUAGAUACCCUGGUAGUCCACGCCCUAAACUAUGUCAACUGGUUGUCGGGGAAGCAAUUCCUUGGUAACGAAGCUAACGCGUGAAGUUGACCGCCUGGGGAGUACGGCCGCAAGGUUAAAACUC